AGGAUGAACGCUAGCUACAGGCUUAACACAUGCAAGUCGAGGGGCAGCAUGGUCUUAGCUUGCUAAGGCCGAUGGCGACCGGCGCACGGGUGAGUAACACGUAUCCAACCUGCCGUCUACUCUUGGACAGCCUUCUGAAAGGAAGAUUAAUACAAGAUGGCAUCAUGAGUCCGCAUGUUCACAUGAUUAAAGGUAUUCCGGUAGACGAUGGGGAUGCGUUCCAUUAGAUAGUAGGCGGGGUAACGGCCCACCUAGUCUUCGAUGGAUAGGGGUUCUGAGAGGAAGGUCCCCCACAUUGGAACUGAGACACGGUCCAAACUCCUACGGGAGGCAGCAGUGAGGAAUAUUGGUCAAUGGGCGAGAGCCUGAACCAGCCAAGUAGCGUGAAGGAUGACUGCCCUAUGGGUUGUAAACUUCUUUUAUAAAGGAAUAAAGUCGGGUAUGGAUACCCGUUUGCAUGUACUUUAUGAAUAAGGAUCGGCUAACUCCGUGCCAGCAGCCGCGGUAAUACGGAGGAUCCGAGCGUUAUCCGGAUUUAUUGGGUUUAAAGGGAGCGUAGAUGGAUGUUUAAGUCAGUUGUGAAAGUUUGCGGCUCAACCGUAAAAUUGCAGUUGAUACUGGAUAUCUUGAGUGCAGUUGAGGCAGGCGGAAUUCGUGGUGUAGCGGUGAAAUGCUUAGAUAUCACGAAGAACUCCGAUUGCGAAGGCAGCCUGCUAAGCUGCAACUGACAUUGAGGCUCGAAAGUGUGGGUAUCAAACAGGAUUAGAUACCCUGGUAGUCCACACGGUAAACGAUGAAUACUCGCUGUUUGCGAUAUACUGCAAGCGGCCAAGCGAAAGCGUUAAGUAUUCCACCUGGGGAGUACGCCGGCAACGGUGAAACUCAAAGGAAUUGACGGGGGCCCGCACAAGCGGAGGAACAUGUGGUUUAAUUCGAUGAUACGCGAGGAACCUUACCCGGGCUUAAAUUGCAGAUGAAUUACGGUGAAAGCCGUAAGCCGCAAGGCAUCUGUGAAGGUGCUGCAUGGUUGUCGUCAGCUCGUGCCGUGAGGCGUCGGCUUAAGUGCCAUAACGAGCGCAACCCUUGUUGUCAGUUACUAACAGGUUCCGCUGAGGACUCUGACAAGACUGCCAUCGUAAGAUGUGAGGAAGGUGGGGAUGACGUCAAAUCAGCACGGCCCUUACGUCCGGGGCUACACACGUGUUACAAUGGGGGGUACAGAGGGCCGCUACCACGCGAGUGGAUGCCAAUCCCCAAAACCUCUCUCAGUUCGGACUGGAGUCUGCAACCCGACUCCACGAAGCUGGAUUCGCUAGUAAUCGCGCAUCAGCCACGGCGCGGUGAAUACGUUCCCGGGCCUUGUACACACCGCCCGUCAAGCCAUGGGAGCCGGGGGUACCUGAAGUGCGUAACCGCGAGGAGCGCCCUAGGGU
RNAcentral lists this ribosomal RNA (1433 nucleotides) under uncultured organism. RNAcentral describes it as "SSU rRNA". It matches the Rfam family "Bacterial small subunit ribosomal RNA". The record is from RNAcentral.